AUACGUAGGGGGCGAGCGUUGUCCGGAAUGAUUGGGCGUAAAGGGCGCGUAGGCGGCCCGGUAAGUCUGGAGUGAAAGUCCUGUUUUUAAGAUGGGAAUUGCUUUGGAUACUGUCGGGCUUGAGUGCAGGAGAGGUAAGUGGAAUUCCCAGUGUAGCGGUGAAAUGCGUAGAGAUUGGGAGGAACACCAGUGGCGAAGGCGACUUACUGGACUGUAACUGACGCUGAGGCGCGAAAGUGUGGGGAGCAAAUAGGAGUGGAUGCCCUGGUAGUCCACACCGUAAACGAUGAAUGCUAGGUGUAGGGGGUAUCGACCCCUUCUGUGCCGCAGGCAACACAAUAAGCAUUCCGCCUGGGGAGUACGGCCGCAAGGUUGAAACUCAAAGGAAUUGACGGGG
This 397-nucleotide ribosomal RNA is filed under the name uncultured bacterium. Its description in RNAcentral is "partial 16S ribosomal RNA". It matches the Rfam family "Bacterial small subunit ribosomal RNA", at positions 523 to 918 of the family's 1533-position model. The record is from RNAcentral.